RNAcentral lists this ribosomal RNA (468 nucleotides) under uncultured Pelotomaculum sp. Its description in RNAcentral is "bacterial SSU rRNA". It matches the Rfam family "Bacterial small subunit ribosomal RNA", at positions 917 to 1381 of the family's 1533-position model. Lineage: Bacteria; Bacillati; Bacillota; Clostridia; Eubacteriales; Desulfotomaculaceae. The record is from RNAcentral.
GACGGGGCCGCACAAGCGGUGGAGCAUGUGGUUAAUUCGACGCAACGCGAAGAACCUUACCAGGCUUGACAUCCCCUGACCGCGUAUGAAAGUACGUUUUCACCCUCGGGUGACAGGGAGACAGGUGGUGCAUGGUUGUCGUCAGCUCGUGUCGUGAGAUGUUGGGUUAAGUCCCGCAACGAGCGCAACCCCUACGUUUAGUUGCUAACGCGUGAAGGCGAGCACUCUAGACGAACUGCCGUUGACAAAACGGAGAAAGGUGGGAUGACGUCAAAUCAUCAUGCCCCUUAUGUUCUGGGCUACACACGUGCUACAAUGGCCGGUACAGACGGACGCAAAGCCGCGAGGUGGAGCAAAUCCUAAAAAGCCGGUCUCAGUUCGGAUUGCAGGCUGCAAUUCGCCUGCAUGAAGUCGGAAUCGCUAGUAAUCGCAGGUCAGCAUACUGCGGUGAAUACGUUCCCGGGCCUU